RNAcentral lists this ribosomal RNA (465 nucleotides) under Vreelandella stevensii. Its description in RNAcentral is "partial 16S ribosomal RNA". It matches the Rfam family "Bacterial small subunit ribosomal RNA", at positions 338 to 795 of the family's 1533-position model. Lineage: Bacteria; Pseudomonadati; Pseudomonadota; Gammaproteobacteria; Oceanospirillales; Halomonadaceae. The record is from RNAcentral.
CCUACGGGAGGCUGCAGUGGGGAAUAUUGGACAAUGGGGGCAACCCUGAUCCAGCCAUGCCGCGUGUGUGAAGAAGGCCCUCGGGUUGUAAAGCACUUUCAGUGAGGAAGAACGCCUGGUGGUUAAUACCCAUCAGGAAAGACAUCACUCACAGAAGAAGCACCGGCUAACUCCGUGCCAGCAGCCGCGGUAAAACGGAGGGUGCGAGCGUUAAUCGGAAUUACUGGGCGUAAAGCGCGCGUAGGUGGCUUGAUAAGCCGGUUGUGAAAGCCCCGGGCUCAACCUGGGAACGGCAUCCGGAACUGUCAAGCUAGAGUGCAGGAGAGGAAGGUAGAAUUCCCGGUGUAGCGGUGAAAUGCGUAGAGAUCGGGAGGAAUACCAGUGGCGAAGGCGGCCUUCUGGACUGACACUGACACUGAGGUGCGAAAGCGUGGGUAGCAAACAGGAUUAGAUACCCUAGUAGUC